GUGCCAGCCGCCGCGGUAAUACCGGCAGCUCAAGUGAUGGCCGAUCUUAUUGGGCCUAAAGCGUCCGUAGCUGGCCUCGCAAGUCCGUCGGGAAAUCCAGUAGCCCAACUACUGGGCGUCCGGCGGAAACUACAAGGCUUGGGACCGGAAGGCUCGAGGGGUACGUCCGGGGUAGGAGUGAAAUCCCGUAAUCCCGAACGGACCACCGAUGGCGAAAGCACCUCGAGAAGACGGACCCGACAGUGAGGGACGAAAGCUGGGAUCUCGAACCGGAUUAGAUACCCGAGUAGUCC
This 293-nucleotide ribosomal RNA is filed under the name uncultured bacterium. RNAcentral's name for it is "partial 16S ribosomal RNA". It matches the Rfam family "Archaeal small subunit ribosomal RNA", at positions 455 to 747 of the family's 1478-position model. The record is from RNAcentral.